UUCUUUUGUAUUUCAUUAUGUGAAAUUCAAAAUAUUUCUUAUUUUCUCCUUAUUGUCAUGUAAAAAAUAAAGCUUUAUUCCUUCUUGAACAUGUGAAUUACCAUUGUUUUUACAUUUACGAUCCUGUCAAGUCGGUCAUUUAUUGUCAAAUCUGUAAAAAUUUGAAUAUUGAAUAAUUCUAACAAUAAUAAACCAAAGAAAUAGUGAGUGAGGGUCAUCAUCACUGCGCUGUGUAUAUUUCUGGUGGUUUUUUUUUAAAUAAGAGAAACUUCAAAAUCUAAUAACUUUCUUAUUUUACAUCCCAUUUUGAUAAUAUUUGUUUGAUUUUUCUAUUGAAUAAAAAUCAACAUUUUCCUUGGGUGGACUUGACCUAUCAUGUUUGAAUGAAUUGAUAACAUGAGUGCAUCUGCAUCAUGGGCCCAUUCUAGCUUUAUCAAGUGAAGAACAAAUUGCCUGUGACUGGAUUAAAGAUGAUGUACAUUGUAGGCCUGUACAUGUGUACUUUGUUUUCCUUGGAUUUAAUAUAAAGCUUCAUGUAGGAAUAAUAAUGCAUACCGGUAUUCUUCCCAUUCAAUCGUCAAAUUUGUGAUAAUGUCUGCAUAUCAAGACUAUGCGAGGCAGUAGAUGGAAAGCCUGCUUGUGUGAUGAGGGUUUUCACAGUACGAAUACACAGUCAAUAUUCCAGGAUGCCUAUGUACAUCAAUGUAUCUUUUUAACACAGACAUGUAUACAUGUAGUUCAUAAUAUGCACACAUGUGUGCGCGAUGAUCUGGUGACCUAAUAAAUUAGUGCAAUGAAUUUUAUAAAGAUGAACUGGAUUACUAUUUUUGACAGAUGAUUUAAAGAGGCCAAAGUAAUUUUUGCUCCGAAGGUUGGGGUAGGAAGAGGAGGAGCUGCCUUUUCUGAUAAGGCUUCAUAAACAGUUUUUCUUGACAGGAGUUUUAGAUUCCAGUUGAGCGCCCUCUACUGGUUACAAGCAGAUAUCCUCUCUUUCUCGCCGGGCAACGGAGAGGAAGGAGGUAUGAUGAUGGCUAACAAAAUGAACGAAAGUCUUGUAUUAGCCCUGCAUCCCUAACAUCAUGGCAUGCCUUUAUUUAGCCACACAUUGACGUAAUAACUUUAUUUUUAAUAUUUUGUUCUUUUUAAUACAUUGUCGGAAUCUCAGUUCCUUCCUGCUGCUAAUGUGAUCAUGUGCAUGGGUUCUGCUCCAUGAAUAUCCUGUCUCUUGAUCCAUAAUGCUUCCAACUAGCAUGUAGAAUUAGAGAGGAAAGUCUGAUUUGCAUUUCAGUCCCAUCUAAUGACAUUGAUGUAUGUGCACAAGUACACCAGCACCAGUUGAUAUUCAACAGUGGGACUUGGUGACUAAUUAAGUGGCAUGAAGCAUUUGCAGCCAUCCAUUUCAAUGGCAGGUUUUAACUGAUAGUGAAUGAGAGAGGUGGUGUAAAGUGAAUCUGAGAGGUGGUGUAAAGUGAAUCCGAUUAAUAAAAUUCAAGGUUUUCGUAUUCUAUAAAGGCAAGGUCAUUUAUGUUGAAAUGAAAUAUCACUGCAACAGCACAUAUAUCUGCAAUUGAUUUUUUUAUCAAUGAAAUUUACCAUAUACUAGAAAUUAAGAUUCAACCCCCACCCAAUUUGAUUAAUUAGUUUGAAAUAACCUUGAUAUUAUUUUUGUUGUUCAUCAAACUGAAGGUAUAAAAUCCAAAUGAUCAAUUAUAAUUAUCGAAGUGAAUAUUUGGAUGAUAUAAACUCAUGAUAGUAUACAUGGGGGCAAUUCCAUGAAAUAAUCAACCUUUUUGUAUGUCCGACCCCCAUUUGUCUCAAGUCUUACUUUGCUUCAUAAACUGACUGAGUCAUGGUCAUUUGAGAACAUUACAGACUGCCAAAAGAACAAGUAAUCAGAGACACAAAAUUUACCAGAGGUCGGAUGUGAUUGCCCAUAGGUAUAUCUAAGUGCAUGGUUGAAGGGGAGCUAGAAAUACAUUUUUUUCAAAACAUAUUAUUGAUCUUAAACAACAGUGUAAGAUCUUGGUCUAACCUUCAUUGAUCAUAAUUUGGAUUAUCAUUUUUUUCACAAAACUGGGGAAAAAAAUCAUGUCUCUCCCCAAAAGAAAAAGCUUCGAGCCCUGGAAAUCUUGAAUGGCUAUAUGUUUCUAGUGGGGAAGACAAAUAAAGAAUGCUUAACAUUUCUCUUUCAAUGCAUGGCUGCUGUGUAAUCAUUAUGUUUUGGUUUUAAUUGAUUGCACCUUUUAAUUGUAUGCAGAAUGAUAAACCGAGUUUUCAGUUGAAGUUAUAUAACUUUUCAUCUAUUAUUUAGAUUCUCUAUCCUGAUCCUAGUUGUGUUUAACUCCUUUUCUAUAAAGUUAGUUGAAACAUAAUGAUUAUAUGAAAGGGAUAACAUAAUCACUGUUUGCACUGUACUCAUUACUUAUACAGUGCAUAUCAAAAAAAGUUUACUCUUUGAAAAUAUCCUGUAAAAUUAUACAUUUGUAAUAUCCUG
This 2494-nucleotide long non-coding RNA is filed under the name Lytechinus variegatus (green sea urchin). RNAcentral describes it as "uncharacterized LOC121411015, transcript variant X1". The record is from RNAcentral. Lineage: Eukaryota; Metazoa; Echinodermata; Echinoidea; Temnopleuroida; Toxopneustidae.